This 253-nucleotide ribosomal RNA is filed under the name uncultured bacterium. RNAcentral's name for it is "partial 16S ribosomal RNA". It matches the Rfam family "Bacterial small subunit ribosomal RNA", at positions 524 to 776 of the family's 1533-position model. The record is from RNAcentral.
UACGUAGGGGGCAAGCGUUGUCCGGAAUCAUUGGGCGUAAAGAGCGUGUAGGCGGCCAGAUAAGUCCGCUGUGAAAUCUCGAGGCUCAACUUCGAGCUGUCGGUGGAAACUGUCUGGCUAGAGUCCGGAAGAGGAGAAUGGAAUUCCUGGUGUAGCGGUGAAAUGCGCAGAUAUCAGGAAGAACACCAGUGGCGAAGGCGGCUCACUGGCCCGGUACUGACGCUGAUGUGCGAAAGCGUGGGGAGCAAACAGG